AGAAUCAACGCUGGCGGCGUGCCUCAGACAUGCAAGUCGAACGCGAAAGUCCCCUUCGGGGGACAAGUAGAGUGGCGCACGGGUGAGUAACACGUAGGUAAUCUACCUUCGGAUGGGGAAUAACAACCGGAAACGGUUGCUAAUACCGCAUAAUGCAGCGGCACCUAAUGGUGACAGUUGUUAAAGCGGGGGAUCGAAAGACCUCGCGUCUGAAGAGGAGCCUGCGGCGGAUUAGCUAGUUGGUAAGGUAAUGGCUUACCAAGGCUACGAUCCGUAACCGG
RNAcentral lists this ribosomal RNA (281 nucleotides) under uncultured soil bacterium. RNAcentral's name for it is "partial 16S ribosomal RNA". It matches the Rfam family "Bacterial small subunit ribosomal RNA", at positions 26 to 290 of the family's 1533-position model. The record is from RNAcentral.